This 425-nucleotide ribosomal RNA is filed under the name uncultured bacterium. RNAcentral's name for it is "bacterial SSU rRNA". It matches the Rfam family "Bacterial small subunit ribosomal RNA", at positions 359 to 776 of the family's 1533-position model. The record is from RNAcentral.
GAAUAUUGGACAAUGGGCGCAAGCCUGAUCCAGCCAUGCCGCGUGUGUGAAGAAGGCCUUCGGGUUGUAAAGCACUUUUGUUGGGGAAGAAAAGCUACCGGGUAAUACCCGGGAGUUCUGACGGUACCCAAAGAAUAAGCACCGGCUACCUUCGUGCCAGCAGCCGCGGUAAUCCGAAGGGGGCAAGCGUUACGCGGAAUUACUGGGCGUAAAGCGUGCGUAGGUGGUGAGUUAAGUCUGUCGUGAAAGCCCCGGGCUCAACCUGGGAAUGGCGAUGGAUACUGGCUCGCUAGAGUGCGGUAGAGGAGAGUGGAAUUCCCGGUGUAGCAGUGAAAUGCGUAGAGAUCGGGAGGAACAUCAGUUGCGAAGGCGGCUCUCUGGACCAGCACUGACACUGAGGCACGAAAGCGUGGGGAGCAAACAGG